UACGAGGGGGGCGAGCGUUGUUCGGAAUUAUUGGGCGUAAAGGGUGCGUAGGCGGUUCCGCAAGUCCUGUGUGAAAUCUUCGGGCUCAACUCGAAGUCUGCACGGGAAACUGCGGGGCUUGAGUGUGGGAGAGGCGCGUGGAAUUGCAGGUGUAGCGGUGAAAUGCGUAGAUAUCUGCAGGAACACCCGUGGCGAAAGCGGCGCGCUGGACCACUACUGACGCUGAGGAACGAAAGCUAGGGGAGCAAACAGG
RNAcentral lists this ribosomal RNA (253 nucleotides) under uncultured bacterium. RNAcentral's name for it is "partial 16S ribosomal RNA". It matches the Rfam family "Bacterial small subunit ribosomal RNA", at positions 524 to 776 of the family's 1533-position model. The record is from RNAcentral.